GCACCCUUAGCUCAGCUGGAUAGAGCAACGGAUUUCUAAUCCGUAGGUCAGAGGUUCGAAUCCUCUAGGGUGUACCA
Molecule: transfer RNA, 77 nt
Filed under: Pseudomonadota bacterium
Lineage: Bacteria; Pseudomonadati; Pseudomonadota
Also listed under: 1 other name
Description: tRNA-Arg
Rfam family: tRNA
About the family: Transfer RNA (tRNA) molecules are approximately 80 nucleotides in length. Their secondary structure includes four short double-helical elements and three loops (D, anti-codon, and T loops). Further hydrogen bonds mediate the characteristic L-shaped molecular structure. tRNAs have two regions of fundamental functional importance: the anti-codon, which is responsible for specific mRNA codon recognition, and the 3' end, to which the tRNAs corresponding amino acid is attached (by aminoacyl-tRNA synthetases). tRNAs cope with the degeneracy of the genetic code in two manners: having more than one tRNA (with a specific anti-codon) for a particular amino acid; and 'wobble' base-pairing, i.e. permitting non-standard base-pairing at the 3rd anti-codon position.
Source: RNAcentral